UGGGGAAUAUUGCACAAUGGGCGAAAGCCUGAUGCAGCAACGCCGCGUGAGCGAUGAAGGCCUUUGGGUCGUAAAGCUCUGUCCUUGGGGAAGAAACAAAUGACGGUACCCAAGGAGGAAGCCCCGGCUAACUACGUGCCAGCAGCCGCGGUAAUACGUAGGGGGCAAGCGUUAUCCGGAAUUAUUGGGCGUAAAGAGUACGUAGGUGGUCUUUUAAGCGCAGGGUUUAAGGCAAUGGCUUAACCAUUGUUCGCCCUGGGAACUGGAAGACUUGAGUGUAGGAGGGGAAAGGGGAAUUCGUGGUGGAGCGGUGAAAUGCGUAGAUAGUAGGAGGAACAUCAGUGGCGAAGGCGCUUUUCUGGACUAUUACUGACACUGAGGUACGAAAGCGUGGGGAGAAAACA
Molecule: ribosomal RNA, 404 nt
Filed under: uncultured prokaryote
Description: bacterial SSU rRNA
Rfam family: Bacterial small subunit ribosomal RNA
Source: RNAcentral